CCUACGGGAGGCAGCAGUGGGGAAUAUUACACAAUGGGGGAAACCCUGAUGCAGCGACGCCGCGUGAGUGAAGAAGUAUUUCGGUACGUAAAGCUCUAUCAGCAGGGAAGAAAAUGACGGUACCUGACUAAGAAGCCCCGGCUAACUACGUGCCAGCAGCCGCGGUAAUACGUAGGGGGCAAGCGUUAUCCGGAUUUACUGGGUGUAAAGGGAGCGUAGACGGCAGCGCAAGUCUGGAGUGAAAUCCCAUGGCUUAACCAUGGAACUGCUUUUGAAACUGUGCAGCUAGAGUGCAGGAGAGGAAGGCGGAAUUCCUAGUGUAGCGGUGAAAUGCGUAGAUAUUAGGAGGAACACCAGUGGCGAAGGCGGCUUACUGGACUGUAACUGACGUUGAGGCACGAAAGCGUGGGGAGCAAACAGGAUUAGAUACCCCAGUAGUC
RNAcentral lists this ribosomal RNA (440 nucleotides) under uncultured bacterium. RNAcentral describes it as "partial 16S ribosomal RNA". It matches the Rfam family "Bacterial small subunit ribosomal RNA", at positions 338 to 795 of the family's 1533-position model. The record is from RNAcentral.